UAAGCUGGACAGCCGCGCGGCCGGGGCGAAAGGCCCGGCUGUGAGGAAAGUCCGGGCUCCAUAGGGCAAGGAUAACGGGUAACACCCGCCGGGGGCGACCCUAGGAAAAGUGCAACAGAGAUAUACCGCCCCAGACCGUUUUCUGGUUUGGGGUAAGGGUGGAAAGGCGAGGUAAGAGCUCACCCGAUGGCUGGGAACAGUCCAUCGCUGUAAACUCUAUCCGGAGCAACGCCGUGGAGGGACACAUAAGGCCGGCCCGGCCGUCCCGGGGAGGCGGCUUGAGCGUACCGGCAACGGUGCGUCGAGAUAGAUGGCUGUCUUAAACGACAGAACCCGGCUUACAGGCUUACUUGU
RNAcentral lists this RNase P RNA (354 nucleotides) under uncultured Lawsonibacter sp. Its description in RNAcentral is "Bacterial RNase P class A". It matches the Rfam family "Bacterial RNase P class A". From Rfam's summary of the family: Ribonuclease P (RNase P) is a ubiquitous endoribonuclease, found in archaea, bacteria and eukarya as well as chloroplasts and mitochondria. Its best characterised activity is the generation of mature 5'-ends of tRNAs by cleaving the 5'-leader elements of precursor-tRNAs. The record is from RNAcentral. Lineage: Bacteria; Bacillati; Bacillota; Clostridia; Eubacteriales; Oscillospiraceae.